Trichoplusia ni (cabbage looper) is the source of this 1737-nucleotide long non-coding RNA. RefSeq lists it as uncharacterized. NCBI's taxonomy places the organism in Eukaryota, Metazoa, Arthropoda, Insecta, Lepidoptera, Noctuidae. The transcript is spliced from 7 exons. The record is from RefSeq and is a predicted model, not a curated record.
AGUAACGGUUGGUUCAAAAGUUUAGCGACUAUAAAGUAUAGAGGUGAAUGAUGCCUCAUCUAUCAAUUACUAGCGCGUGGUGUCGUGGAGCCGUGACUCGUACGUACGCGUGGUUGUUGACACGUCGUUCACCCAGUACCGUACAGCUCUCGGCCGCUCGACACGAGGGAACCAACGCCGUUCCGAACGCCCCGUUCUCUUGUUUUUUAUACCCCAUGAAUCAUACCAACGUAAUGGCUUAAAGCUGCGUUCUAACGCAGCGGCCUACUAGAAACAAGGCUUUCAAAGGUGCCAGUUUUACUAUCCUCCUACUCAGAACCUGAACAUCAAUCGAUUUUCCUCAAUACAACUGUAAAAGUAACGCUUUGGCAUUAGCGGCGCCUACUAGCGCGUAGGUAGAGUGGGUAGAGCCCUUCGUUGCCAGGUUCUAAUCGGGGCGUGCGGAUUUGCGAGCUGAACGCGGAGCGCGCUUCUCGGCGUUCUGAGUGGAGGAGGCAAGUGGAGCAUCAUGGCAGCUCAGUGUUUGAGCUAUAGUGUGUCACGCUGGACGUGGUCCCAGCGCGUCGUGUCGUGUUGCGGUACAGUGAGAGUGGCAUGGCAGUAACAUCGUGUCGCGGUUAGGGCGAGCGCGGUCGAUGAGCCCGACGCAGAGGGCAGCACAGAGCCGCCGCGGGGGGGCGCUCCCGCGGCCCCCGCGCCCUUUUCUCUACCCCGUCUGCUUGCGCACUCUGUAUAGCCGCGCCGCGCGCUCACUAAUGCGUCAUAUCGCCAUCGAAGCUAACGCGCUUUCUGCCGCUCUGUAACAAUACUACGCGCGCGCCAUGUGAACUUAUGUGUUAACUUAUAUAGAGGCGCGAGACGCGACGGCAUGCCCGGGAAGCUUGAUUUUGACUUCAUAAUGACUUUUGCCGUUAUGGACAGUGACUUUGGUGCCUGUGAGCAGAGGGACAGUAGAGUGGUACACGAGGUUGGCGCACGUGCUCACGUCUCCUUCCCGAAUCUGACGCACAACGGGCCGCGGCGCCGGCCGCCCGGAAUGCGGCCUCCGCCCCACCGCGCGUUGUCGGCGCCGAACGCGCCGCGCGUAGCGUAAUAAAUAAAGGCGGGGCGCGGCUGCGUGCGCGCGCACCCUCCCGCGCUCUCCGCGCCCUCGGGUCAUUGACUCCCGUGUGCCACCGCCGCCGCCGCCGACGCUGCCGAAGACAACAAUUUUCGGAAGCGGUGCCGCGCUCUUGGCCCUAGCGCGGUUCACCGGCCCGCGGAAACUCCAAUGUCAAUGCCGAUGCUAGGCGGCGUAGUACAAUUGUUAAAUGGCGUCAAAGGAAUAGAAUGAAGAAUGUCUAGAGCCCGGAGCUGUGAUGGCCGGUCAUUAAACCUCGCAUAUUUACAGAUAUGGACUCGUGACUUCCAGAAGACCAGUGAGCUGAGCAGAGACUAGACUUGAUUGAACGCAGUCUUUUGUCAACAUGAAGAUAUAACUUCGUGAGCUUCGGUCGACGAUUGAAAAGAUGAACUAAAGAUAAACAGCCUGCCUUAUGGAGCUGCUGCCGUCAACAAGCCGUGGAGCAGACCUAAGACGCGGGGAUACAAACAGGUAUGGCACACUUGGACAACGGUGGAUUAAUAUUAAUGACUACAUGAUACAUAAGUCUUAGAUAACGAUUGUUUUGUUGAAACUUAAACGCAAUAUCUGUAUGUUUUUACUGAAGAUUGUUAAUAAAAUCUAUGUUAUUGUUA